Molecule: long non-coding RNA, 1113 nt
Filed under: Carica papaya (papaya)
Lineage: Eukaryota; Viridiplantae; Streptophyta; Magnoliopsida; Brassicales; Caricaceae
Description: long non-coding RNA (CPAP_LNC000069)
Source: RNAcentral
GUAAACCAUACUUAUUCACUUAAUAUGUAAUAUACGGAAUUAACAAAACAAAACAAUAAUCUAAGAAUAUACGUAUCUUAAAAUCUCAGUUCGUUUUGUCUGGAAGGAAUCAAUAAAAAUUUUUAGGACCUCCAAUUACAAAUUGAAAAAUAAAUCAAACUACUAUAUUCUUAUUGAUCUAUUUAACUCAAUCUAAUAAUAACAUUUUAGUACAUACUGAAUUUUAGCACUAUUGUAAAUUCUAGGUCCCAUAACAAACUUCGCACUUAACUUGCUGAUGAGUCCAAUCAGCCUGCCCAAAUAAGGAAAACCUGCCUCGUAGUUUGAGGCAUUGGAGAAAUAUGUUCUUUUGUUUUUCUCUUUGAGAAAGGUUGGACAAAUAUUUUAAUCUCGUGGAUUGAACGUAAAAUACCUCAAAGCCAAUAAAUAUGAAAUUAAUUUUUUAUAAGGUAAUAUGUGUGUCAAUAUUAGUUCGUUUAACUAUUAAAAUUUGAAUUUCUAUCUUAAAUUAAUAACUUAAUUAAUGGAUGUAAUUAACGGAGGAGGGUGUAGAUGUUAAAUUAAUAUGUUAUAGUGAGCGUUAUAGAAAAAACAUCUAUAUAAUUCAUCUCUAAAAUUGAAGAACCAUUGUACACAAGCUAUUUUGAAAACUUUCCCUUGCUCCCAGUAUGGCGAAAUUGGAUUGUUCCAUCACUUUUCUGGCACUAUUUUUCGCCGCAGGACUGCUUUUUGUACCGGCACUUUCAGAGGAUAUAGCCCCGUCACCCAAGUCCGAGCAUUGAAGUGUUGGGAUUUACAGCAUUAAAGUGUUGAGAUACCUUUCUCACAAGAAGGAGAGUCAAUUAAAUAAUUAAUGAGAAUAUCCCAAUUCGAGAAAAAAUUAUUUUGAAGAAGGGGGUUGAUGCGAGAAAAGAAUGGGGUGCAACUCACACUAAGAUCUUAUGAUAAAGAUGAUUAUAACCAAAUGGUCAAAAAAGUCAUUCCAAUCAUAAACUCUCAAGUAUUUCCCAUGAGAGAGUCAUUACUCUUGUUGGGAGAGUCGUAACUUGAUACUCAUCUCUUUUAAGACACAAGAGUCAUAUAGAUAAUAAAAGUUCUAAAGAUUUUUUAUAC